UACGUAGGGGGCAAGCGUUGUCCGGAUUUAUUGGGCGUAAAGAGCGUGUAGGCGGCCAGAUAGGUCUGUUGUGAAAACUCGAGGCUCAACCUCGAGACGCCGAUGGAAACCAUUUGGCUAGAGUCCGGAAGAGGAGAGUGGAAUUCCUGGUGUAGCGGUGAAAUGCGCAGAUAUCAGGAAGAACACCCGUGGCUAAGGCGGCUCUCUAGUACGGUACUGACGCUGAGACGCGAAAGUGUGGGGAGCGAACAGG
Molecule: ribosomal RNA, 253 nt
Filed under: uncultured bacterium
Lineage: Bacteria
Description: partial 16S ribosomal RNA
Rfam family: Bacterial small subunit ribosomal RNA
Source: RNAcentral